CGCGGAGUUGUCUAGCGGCGAAGACGCUUGCCCCGGGAGCAAGAGCACGUGGGUUCGAGUCCCACCUCCGCGA
This 73-nucleotide transfer RNA is filed under the name Planctomycetota bacterium. RNAcentral's name for it is "Planctomycetes bacterium (activated sludge metagenome) tRNA-Pro". It matches the Rfam family "tRNA". From Rfam's summary of the family: Transfer RNA (tRNA) molecules are approximately 80 nucleotides in length. Lineage: Bacteria; Pseudomonadati; Planctomycetota. The record is from RNAcentral.